RNAcentral lists this ribosomal RNA (460 nucleotides) under uncultured bacterium. RNAcentral describes it as "partial 16S ribosomal RNA". It matches the Rfam family "Bacterial small subunit ribosomal RNA", at positions 338 to 795 of the family's 1533-position model. The record is from RNAcentral.
CCUACGGGUGGCAGCAGUGAGGAAUAUUGGUCAAUGGGCGCGAGCCUGAACCAGCCAAGUAGCGUGAAGGAUGACUGCCCUACGGGUUGUAAACUUCUUUUAUAAAGGAAUACAGUGAGUCACGUGAGCCUUUUUGUAUGUACUUUAUGAAUAAGGAUCGGCUAACUCCGUGCCCUCAGCCGCGGUAAUACGGAGGAUCCGAGCGUUAUCCGGAUUUAUUGGUUUUAAAGGGAGCGUCGAUGGGUUGUUAAUUCAUUUGUGAAUGUUUGCGUCUCAACUGUAAAAUUGCAAUUGAUACUGGCAGCCUUGAGUACAGUUGAGGUAGGCGGAAUUCGUGGUGUAGCGGUGAAAUGCUUAGAUAUCACGAAGAACUCCGAUUGCGAAGGCAGCCUACUAAACUGCCACUGACAUUGAUGCUCGAAAGUGUGGGUAUCAAACAGGAUUAGAUACCCUAGUAGUC